GUACAUAAAUUGAAAGGUGGUAUACUUAAAUAUAAUAAACACAAACCUUAAACAUGGAUGGUUAUAAGAUUUGCUAUAUGGAAUGUAUAUGUAAAAAUCCCAAACUUCAAUGCAAUUCCUAGCACCAAAUUCCCUUAAGCCUUAGUUUCAGACCCACAAGAACAGGCUCAUUCCGUCCAAUUAAUCCAAUCAGCGCAAAAGGAUUAUUUUCUUAAAAACCCCAAUCCCAAAAUUAGCCUAGGGUUAUCUUUUCUCUUUUCAAAACAAAUGCUCCUCCCCUUCUUCUUCCUUUUUCCUCUUCCAUGUUAAAAAUUCAGUACCUUUCAACUUUGGACAGAAGAAGUACACAUCAUUCUCGCACAAAGUUCGUCCUUACCUUGAGCCAAUGUCUCUUUGCACCAGACUUUGGCGCAAUUUUUGCUGUAACCUUACUGUAAACCUGAACCUUUCUUUUGUCCGAUUACAAAUUCAAAAUCAAAUUCAAAUGGAUAGUUUGAUUCCGCUCAAUGGUCCCCUAGCCCUAAACAUCAUCCCUAUAAGUACAUGUUGUUGGCAUCUAUUCUGGCUCAUGGUUUUGAGCCGCAUCUUUACCCCCUAAAAAUCCUAAAGCUCUGAGUCACCCCUCUAAGUUUAAGCUUCACCUGCACCUUUACCCCUAAAAAUCCUAAAGCUCUAAACCACCCCUCUAUCCCCUCCAAGUUUAAGCUUAAACCCCCUCCUUUAACCCAGAGGCCGCGUUCGAAGUUUUUGUUGGAUCUAGACCUCAGCCCUGGUUAACUGCCCAACAAGAGUUUCACUUUUUGAGACUCCAUGCUGCUGCUAGGCCCGAUAUCAGAUUUCUCUUCAUCCAUUUCUCUUGCUUUCCUGAAACACAGCCGAACUAAAAAGUCAAGGAAUGCCGGGAGGGAAUAACAGAUGUUCCCCUUCAUUUCUUGUUGAUAGCCUUGCUUAUUUAAGAUAUUUCUGCUCUGGAGUUACUAAUACUCUUUUAUUUUGGUUUUUGUUUUUAUUUUUCUUCACUGAGCCGAGGGCCGAUUGGAAACAGGCUCUCCCCAGACCUCACUUUGUGGGACUAUACUGAUAUUAGUUGUUGUUGUAGCAGCCUUGCCUUAUACCUUAUGUGUUUUGAGUAUUAACCUGUUAUUUAUAAUUAUUUGUUUAUCGUGUGUGGGGAUUUAACGUAACUUUUCUUAUGAUACUUAAUUAGAUUGGGUUGCUUAGAGGUCAUUACUUUCUAGAACAGAGAUGGCGAAGUUAUUAUUUAGAGGGCUCAGAUCUAAACCUUCCUUUUGAAUUUAGUCUAUCUCUUUUACUGUAUUUUGAUUUCUUAAAGUUUUUAACGCAAACAUAUUGCCUAAGUGUCCAAGUGGAUUUUCAACCCCAAGUGAAACCUUAUCACGUAUAUGUACAUUAUUUGAAUGGUGAACAUGCCAAUUAUGUGGACCAUUUAAUUUGAAUUAAUUAAAUCCUAAUUAAAGGAGCAUGACUAACUUUUUAU
This 1498-nucleotide long non-coding RNA is filed under the name Nicotiana benthamiana. Its description in RNAcentral is "long non-coding RNA (NBEN_LNC035739)". Lineage: Eukaryota; Viridiplantae; Streptophyta; Magnoliopsida; Solanales; Solanaceae. The record is from RNAcentral.